Molecule: non-coding RNA, 114 nt
Organism: Mesocricetus auratus (golden hamster)
Lineage: Eukaryota; Metazoa; Chordata; Mammalia; Rodentia; Cricetidae
Source: Rfam
ACGGACCGCCAUACCACCCUGAAGGUGCCCGAUCUCGCCAGACCUCGGAAGCUAAGCAGGGUCGGGCCUGGUUAGUACAAGAGUGAGCUUGUGAUCGCUCAAGGUUGGUUAUCU